GCUUUCGGUGCUUGGUAGAUCGAUGCUUCUGAACUUAAAGGCAAAGUAAUAAACUAAACAAACCGCCGGUUGCUGCUUCAGAGAGCCGCUCGCCUCCGUUAUUUCUGCUCAUUUUGGACAGAAAACGCUUCACGGGGUGCACAGGGUUUGCUGAGAAGAUGCUUAUUUUCCCACGACUUGCUUCGUAUCUCAUAUCUAUGUGACUGAUUUUUGAUAGAUCAGACAAAGGUCACGUUAUUGACCAAAAUAGCACAGUUCUUUGGUUGUUUUUGGCUAGAUGUAAGCCUUUAGUCGAUGCGUUGCAGCCUAUGACGAUGAUGUGUUGUAAAGAUUACUGUUCGUGUUGAGCAGGGCGCUCCUCCUCCCUCUCCGCUUUCGGGCCAUGUCACGAGCCAUAGCCCGGUGCACCCCGGUCCAGUUGAAUUAAACUCCCUCAAUAUAACUCUACUCUAUGACAUGGUAGUGUACACAGUAUAAUACAAAUCUAAUUCUAUUCAUCUUGUAGUCCCAUGAUCCUCCCCC
Long non-coding RNA from Oncorhynchus tshawytscha (Chinook salmon), 522 nucleotides. Lineage: Eukaryota; Metazoa; Chordata; Actinopteri; Salmoniformes; Salmonidae. The record is from Ensembl.